RNAcentral lists this ribosomal RNA (253 nucleotides) under uncultured bacterium. Its description in RNAcentral is "partial 16S ribosomal RNA". It matches the Rfam family "Bacterial small subunit ribosomal RNA", at positions 524 to 776 of the family's 1533-position model. The record is from RNAcentral.
UACGUAGGGCGCAAGCGUUAUCCGGAAUUAUUGGGCGUAAAGAGCUCGUAGGCGGCUCGUCGCGUCGGCUGUGAAAACCUGGGGCUCAACCCCGGGCCUGCAGCCGAUACGGGCGAGCUAGAAUUCGGUAGGGGAGACUGGAAUUCCUGGUGUAGCGGUGAAAUGCGCAGAUAUCAGGAGGAACACCGGUGGCGAAGGCGGGUCUCUGGGCCGAUAUUGACGCUGAGGAGCGAAAGCGUGGGGAGCGAACAGG